UCGAAAGUUCAGUGAAUGUAAGGUUGAAAUUUUUUUCGAUGGUGGUUUCUCCCACCUGUUUGGUUCUCUUCCGGCUGGUUGUUUCGUGCUUAUGAUGGUGUUUGUGGGAGCGCCGGCAGACCCUCCAUUCUUCAUCCUCUAGCGGUUCUCGCCGGAGGUAAGCUUAUUAUUUGGGUCUGCCCCCUCCUUCAUCACCCUUCAUCCGCCUGUUUUGCUACUUGCCAAGGGUUCCUUUCGGUGGGAGUGUUCCUCCUCCACCCAUCGAUUCAUGUGGUCUUCACGUUCAAGGCAUAUCACGUGUUCUCUCUUUCCGAUGGAGGCUCUCCCGCCUGUUUAGUUUUCAUCCGUCUGUUAGCUUCUUGCAGAUGGUAGUGUGUUUUGGGUUCGCAGGUAGACCUUCCAUCCUUCAUCCUCUCGCUGUGUAACGUCACCACGGAGGUAUGCUUAUUUUGGGUCUUCCCUCUCCCUCUUCGCCGUCAUCUACUUGGUUGCUUCUCGUCGAUGGUUUCUACUCGGUGGUAGAGCAUAUGAGUUCAGACUGUGCUCCCCACUUUUUCAUCCCUCCCGUGGUAAUACUUCACGCCGGAGGGACCAAGCUUAGCUUUCGGGAUUGCCGUCUCGCUUCAUCUAUAUUGUAGAGUUUAACUGCUCUUUGCCGAUUAUCCACAAAGGGUUUGCAGAAGACUGAAAAAACGGUAAAAUUCUGGUAGUUUGUUCGAAAGUUCCGGUUGCAUUUUCACCGGAUAAGUCAUGUUCUACCUACUAGCCUGGGCCUUCCUUCUUUCCGACGUAAUUCACCGGAUAAGUCAUGUUCUACCUACUAGCCUCGUGUGGGACGAGGAAUUCCAACACUGCACAACCAACACAACAAAGUUGAAGAUGAAGGAAGCCCAACGGUGCACGACCAGCAUAACAAGAUUGAAGAUCAAGAAAGCCCGCCGGCGGUGCACGACAAAAUUGAAGAUGGUAGCCGGAGCAGUGGUUGUGAGGGACAAGCAGGAAGUCCGGCGGUGGACAACCAACAAAACGAAUCUUGAGGCAGUGGCGGAGCCAGUAAUUUAUAUUAGAGGGACUGACCCAUUUUUUUUUUUUGGUAUGUCGUACAUUUUAGAUGUUUUUACUUAAAAAAAAUAACUAUAAUAAUAAUAAUAAACAAUAUUUUCAUAAAUUAUACUAUAGUUUCAAUAUAUUACAAAUAACUUAAGACUAUAUACUUGGUGAGCUAAUUGUUUUCGUUUGAAAAGGCAAUGAUAAUUGACUUAAUUCGAUAUGUAUUCAUUGACUAAUUAAAAACGUUGCAAUAUCUUUUCAAUAUACACGACCAAAUUGUUAUUUAUCCACUCAUUAAUCAAUUAUCAAUAUUUAUAAAAUUAAAUAAAAUGUACAGAAUAUCAACAAAUUAAUAGAAGAAGUGAUACAAAAUUAACUAUCAUAGCUUCUAUUUAACCAUCCUUUAGAGCACUCCCAGCAGAUCACCUAAAUAUAUCAAUAACUCUAAAUUUAGGCUAAAAUAAUUGAAAAUGGGAUAAAAAAUGCAUCCAGCAGAUCCCCUAAAUUGGAAGGUGGGCCCACAAUUUGAAUAAAAAAAAAGAAAAAAAAGUUUGACUAACGGAGUUGGACGGCGUUAGGUCAGAAGGGUUUAAAUAUAUGAUUUUUCGGACUUUGAGGGCCUAUUUGCACGCACAGUGACUAUGAGAAGUAAUACGCUAUAGGAGCCUAUACUACAGGGGUCUAUCUGCACCUUAACCAUUUUUCUAUUAAUAAGAAAUUAACAAUAGAUACGUCACGUCAAAUAUUUGCACGUCAUAUUAGCUUGGUAUUUGGCCGGAAUUUGGAUUAGUAGCAAAAUCAGAUAAAAUCUAAAGUUUAGUAAUUUUCACGCUACAUUUCAAAGUUUGUGUGCAAAAUCAGAAUUGGAAGAAAGUUUAGUAUUUUAUGGGCAAUUAACCCAAAAUUAAAAUGCCCUAAAACUUUGAAAAGAAGGCUCUGCCUUCUCUCUAGACUCCAAACUCACGCUCUCUCUCUAACUUCCGCCGGAGGAUACCUCUUCCAUCACUUGCGGUUGUUUCCUCCCUUCACUUUUAGGGAUGGAGUUUUAUCUUUGGAAUCGAUUUAUGGCAUAACAGUUCUCUCCCUCUUCGAUGGUAGCUCUUUUGCCUAAUUGGUCUUCGUUUGGCUGGAUGCUUCUUGCUAUUGGGAGUGCGGUUUUUGGAGUUUUGGCCGACCCUCAUCCUUCACCCUCCAGCGUCGAUACUUAUUCCUGGAGGUAUGCUUUUUCCGUUGGGUUUGCUGUCUCCUUCUUCACCUCCCUCCUGCCGGUCACAUCCUUCCAGAUGGGUUCCUUCCGGUGGAAUUGCCUCAGAGUUCCGGCAGACCCUUCUUCUCCAUCCUCACGCGGUAAACCUUACGCGGAGAUGCCUUCCUUCAUUGCGGGUCUGCCCUCUCCCCCAUCGCCGACUGUUUGAGGUAACUGCUCUUUGCCGGAAAUCAUAAGCUUUUGCAGAAGAUUGGAUAAGCUGGAAGUAUUUUUCCGGCAGUUCAUUCGUAAGGUCAGGUUUGAAACUUUUUUCGAUGGUGGUUCUCCCACCUGUUUGGUUCUCUUUCGGUUGGUUGUUUCGUGCUUAUGAUGGUGUUUGUGGGAGCACCGGCAGACACUCCAUUCUUCAUCCUCUAGCGGUGAAACUUCUCGCCGGAGGUAAGCUUAUUAUUUGGGUCUGCCCCCUCCUUCAUCACCCUUCAUCCGCCUGUUUUGCUACUUGCCAAGGGUUCCUUUCGGUGGGAGUGUUCCUCCUCCACCCAUCGAUUCAUGUGGUCUUCACGUUCAAGGCAUAUCACGUGUUCUCUCUUUCCGAUGGAGGCUCUCCCGCCUGUUUAGUUUUCAUCCGUCUGUUAGCUUCUUGCAGAUGGUAGUGUGUUUUGGGUUCGCAGGUAGACCUUCCAUCCUUCAUCCUCUCGCUGUGUAACGUCACCACGGAGGUAUGCUUAUUUUGGGUCUUCCCUCUCCCUCUUCGCCGUCAUCUACUUGGUUGCUUCUCGUCGAUGGUUUCUACUCGGUGGUAGAGCAUAUGAGUUCAG
Molecule: long non-coding RNA, 3075 nt
Filed under: Salvia miltiorrhiza (redroot sage)
Lineage: Eukaryota; Viridiplantae; Streptophyta; Magnoliopsida; Lamiales; Lamiaceae
Description: long non-coding RNA (SMIL_LNC005006)
Source: RNAcentral